RNAcentral lists this ribosomal RNA (385 nucleotides) under Micrathena forcipata. Its description in RNAcentral is "partial 16S ribosomal RNA". Lineage: Eukaryota; Metazoa; Arthropoda; Arachnida; Araneae; Araneidae. The record is from RNAcentral.
CAAUGAAUAUUUAAAUAGCCGCGGAAUUUUUACCGUGCUAAGGUAGCAUAAUCAUUAGUCCUUUAAUUAAGGACUUGUAUGAAAGAUGUCACAUUUCAAUUCCUUUUUUAAUAUUUAUUAUUUAAAUUAAAUUAAAAAUCAAAAUAUUUUUAUAAUUAUAAUAGACGACAAGACCCUACUGAACUUAACUUUUGUUUCGCUGGGGCAGCGAAAAAAAAACCAUUUUUUUUAUGAAAAAUUCAAUAAAUGACCCAAUAUAGUUGAUCAUUUGCUCAAGUUACCAUAGGGAUAACAGCGUAAUUUUCUUUUGAAGCUCUUAUUUAAAAGAAAGAUUGCGACCUCGAUGUUGAAUUAAUGAAACUUUUUAUUAAUGCAAUCAUUAAAA